Molecule: long non-coding RNA, 3795 nt
Organism: Astatotilapia calliptera (eastern happy)
Lineage: Eukaryota; Metazoa; Chordata; Actinopteri; Cichliformes; Cichlidae
Source: Ensembl
GUCGUUUAUGUAGCAAACAAAUACACAAUUUUGAAAGCCAAUAAUAUACAAGCAGGGUCUGUUUUUGAAAUGCACAAAGUGCCAAAAAAUGUGUUUGUUUCUUUCAUGUGUGCAUCCUUUAAACUGCAAAUCACCAACCUGUGCUUACCGUGGGCUUCUAUAUUUAUGCAAAAAUUAUAAUAAUGUCAUUAAAUAACAAGUUCUGGAAAGAGUUAACAGUCACCCCUGUUGACAGAUGAAGUGAUGAUGAAGAAGAACAGAUGAGUAUAAACAGAUGGAUGCAUGGAGGCCUGCCCUGUAUGAUUUAUAACUGUGGGUCUGUCAGUGUUUACUGCCAAAAAAAUUGGCUUGUUUCAGCAAUAACAUGCAUACACACAAUCUCACUCACAUCAAAACAUCAGACCAACUACAAUGGACCUUUCUCCCACAUUUUACCUCACUCUCAGUGGAAUUUCAGCUUCACGGCUGCUUUCAAAUCCAAAAACUUUGUACCUCCCAGGUUUCCUCGUCAUUGCUUCGGAGCCAGCAGAAGACAUGGAGCGGCAAGCUGGAAAAGAAUACACGCAGAAACCUGAACACACCCAUGUUUUAUAUUUGAAGUUUGGAAAGUUUUUUUAUCCACCUUAAAAAUCUGGCAAUCUCACAAACCUCAAAAGACUGAAGUUAAAUUCUCUCCAGCCUUAAAAUCUGUGAGCUGUCUUAGAUUUGUCCCACUUACUUUUUAUGAAAAUCAAUCUGCAAACUUGGUGUCUGGAUCCAAGAGAGCAGAGGAAAAAAUAUUUUGGAGAUGAACUUGACUUUGUUCUGCUGCGGCCAAAAAUGGUUUUCUCUGCCCCAUGUCUAAGUGCCUUGGUGUUUGUCGAGGUUUUUGCUUUAAACCGCAAUCCUGCCACAGCAAAACAGAAAUGACGAACAAAAAGAGGGAGUCUCGGGAAAGAGAAAAUGAGGUGAUAAACCAGAUUCAGCAAACUGAUGUAAGUGAGAAUGGUUGAUGUGUUUUUCUUGUAUUUUCUGCAAGUAUUGGCAGGGUGACUCAGGACUCGUGCAUAAUCAGGUUAUAUCAGUGUCCUUUGGCUAGCUGAUCACAUUAAAUCAUCACAUGUGACAUCUGCAUUACAUUACAUACCUCCAUCGUGUCUAGUGAAAGGCAAUGAAAACUCUGGGCUGCUGGGCUUUUCUUUCAUAAUCACUUUAAUAUAUGCAACAACAUCUGUAUUGUUGCUCAUUCUAUUUAAUGAUAUAAAACAUAUUAGAGGUCAAAUAGUUUGUCAGCUAAUCAGUACAUUAACAAAAACUCUUCACAUUAUCUUCUUAAACUUUCUGUGUGACAGGAUUUUGUAUUUUUUUAAUAUUUUAUAGAAGAAACAACAAAAUAAUCAUUAGAUAAAUCACUAAUGCCAAUAAAUGUUUCAACAAUACAGUGUUCAGACCAAAGUUUUGCCACAAAUACAGUUACAACCAAUAACUGACAUCUUCUUUUGUUGUUGUUGUUUUUCUACAUUAAAGCAAAGGUAAAUCUUUCAGCUGCAGGUGUGUACAAGCAGCAGUAAGUUUGUACCGCACACAGGCUUUUACUGCCAAGCAUGAUGGGUUUUUUUUUUUUUUUACCUGUUCUUAAAAUAUUUGAAAUAUUGUAUUUGCAUCACUUUGCAUCUUUGACUUUCUAUUUACUCUGCAUAAAAUCAAAAUUUGCAUAAGUUUAAUCUGGAAAGUAGACCAUUAGAUUGUAUAUAAAAGUGAGCAUUGUGGCCAGUGGCAUUACUGUUUUGGUCUUUUUGAAACUAGCCAUGAAAAGCAUGGGAGGAUCUGUCUGAGAAACUCAAUGCUGAAGAAAGAAGCCAGCCAACCAAAGGCAGGCCCUGCUUUACUAUUUUAUUCUCAAUGAAACUACAAUUUAGAAAUUAAAGAUUGUGCUAUAUUUAAAAAAUACCUGGUAAAAAGUGUUCACUGAGGUUUAAGACUUUCACUUUUUCAGGCUAUGUCACUGAAUCCAGUUUUUGAUUGCAGCCCUAAGCCACACCCACACAAACACUGCCUGCAUCGAUAUCAUAUAAUGGAGUUUGUUUUUUUUUAUUGUAGAAAUCUCCAUAAAUAGGUGUGCGUUAAAGAGUAAACCCCUGGCUGGAUUUUACAGCAGAUUAUUUCAUUCUCAUUCAAAUUCUUCUUAGACAGGCAGAAGGAUAUGUGGAAAUUCUUUUUGGAGCACAGAAAGCGAUAAAGCAAAAUGUGACUGUGUGGCGGCCAGGCCUCUGAGUUUCUCUCAUUUAUCUUCUAGAGGCGUCAGAUUCAGCACUUUGGCUGCAGAGUUAUUACUUCCUUUGUAAAACAACAGCCAGAAAUAACACCCUCGACUCCUUCCAUAUUUUUUCUAUCUGUUUGUUUGUCAUCUCCUUUUUAAAAAAUGAUACGUUAAGUUAACCAUAAAAACAAGCAAAAGCAGGUUGAAUUUUUUUUUUGUAAAUCAUUUUGUACUGGCAUUAGUUUUUUAGAAAAUAAAGGGCGGUUUGUAGCAUACUACAGUAUUUAUACAUGUUUUGUUAUUUGUAAUUUUAAUAUGUUUCUUUAAUUAAAGUUACAGUAUAUCAUAACAUCCAAGUGGCAGUUUCUUCAGCUUUUGUUUCCAGCUCAAAUUUUGUGCCAUUUCAUUUCCAACUUAACAAACAGGAAGUAAAGGGACAAAAAAUUGCGAUUUUUUUUUUUUAAACUGGGUGAAUGUAAGACUGAAUUGGGAAAAAAAGCAUGUUGAUUUGUUCAGAUCAUAUUCUCUGUAUUUUUCAUCAGACUUAAUUUCUUUGGACAUUUCUAAAUAAAAAGAGCUGCAGAUUGGUGACAAAAUAAAUACAAAAAAACACUGAACCCCAUAUAGUGAAAGGAUCUGAUUGUUCUAUUAUGCAUUAGGGGCCAUUGUGCUGCUUUUUCUUUGGUUCAAAAAGCUUGAAAAUCACAAAUGUAGGUAUGUUGUGAGAGGAAGGUAGGAUGCCCAGACAUGCCAGAGAAAACUUGGAUGAGUGGCAAAGGUGAAAGGACACCCACGCUUUCUUUGUACCCGAAAAACUGAACAUACUGGUGAACAACAGCAUCAUAUACUUUAGUUCAAGGGCAUCAAACCGUGGGUGUUUAUAUAAGUCCUACAAAUGAUGAGAGUAUUUGAGAGCACUUUUUAAAAACAGGUUGAGGCCUUCCAAAAACAGCAACUGCAGAGAAAAGCUUAAAUUUACCUCAGAUGAAUCUAAUCUGCUGGUGAAUACAUUGCAGGCUAAUCAUAUACUAUUACCUUAUGGGUACAAUUUAUCAGGCAGAAAAUGUAAACCAGUGUCUUCUACUGUGGGCUUUCUUUUCUUGGUUCUGUUUAUUUUGACUCAGUUCAAGGUAACUGGCUGAGCUGCAGUGUGUUAGACAUCAGCAGAGCAAAACUGUUGUGCUGUGAUUAACUGGCUAGUUAGCGACUCCUCUGAUCUCAGAUAAUAGUUUGAGUACAAAAACACCCUCAUGUCAUUACUCAGAAAUACCCUUGGAAGUGACCACAUACUGCAACCAUCUUGUAAUGUUUUCUCAUUUUCAUUCAAUUACAUUUAACAGCAAAAAAAAACUGUCCUUGUGGAUUGUAAUGUCUUGGCUGUGUUCUGUGUAUCUUUUAUAACACUGUGCUGCUCGUAACAGAUAGAAGAGCUUAGGAAUUAAAAAAAGGAUUUCACCUGAAAACUCACAGAGCUUUUUACUUUGUGUACUGUUUAUAUGUGCCACUAAAAUGCUGCAUAUGUACUGCUGAAAUAAUAAAAUGUAGAUUUGUUUAAA